Molecule: long non-coding RNA, 479 nt
Organism: Lolium rigidum
Lineage: Eukaryota; Viridiplantae; Streptophyta; Magnoliopsida; Poales; Poaceae
Exons: 3
Source: RefSeq, a predicted model, not a curated record
UGCACGCGGCGCGCACCGUCAAGAUCGUCUCUGACAUUCGUGACUCCGUCGGCAAGAACUCCGUCUUCGGCCGUGUGCGCCGGCAUGCAGCAGCCUCGCCUCGCGCACACAGUAAUCCAAAGCUUCAAGUUUUCACCGGUUCCGUCUGAGCUGGAUCAAGAACGCACGCCUCGCUUCAUUGACGUGAUCGCAUCGUAGACCAUCUGGUUCUGCAUCCACAGGUCGUGUGUUCAGUUCUUGUUCUGGCAGAUAAAAGCCGUCCCCUUUUUCCUUCUUGAUUCAAUCGCUGACAUGUGAUCUCUGUCCAGCUGAAACUGGCUCCGUCAAAUCGUUAGUCUGCAUCUUGGAUGGCGUUGAAAAACACAGGCGCCUUCUUCACUUCAACAUCAGCAGCGUAGACCAGCUGCAGUCAACAUCCAGUCAUCGUCCAAGUCAGCUUCCCGGGUCCCGCACGUCUUUCCCUGGGGCUAGUUCUCUCG